CUUCCCUGCCGCUAGAUGUCACUGCAUCAGCGGCAUUGAGUGGCGCAGUUAUCCUAACUGACAUGACUGACAGCAGAGUACCGGACGAUGCUAUUGAUCUAGCCGACCGCCACACACUUCGGGCUGAUGGAACAGCGACUUAAACCGGCCAAGCCAAAGGCAGAGGACUGUGCAUCUAUGGGUCUCCGAAUAAAUGAAGGAUGGUGAGGUGGAGAUGGUAAAUAUGGUACGGUAAAGCAGCAUCCUUGAGGGGACACCUGGAGGGCCAAAGACGACGUGGGACAGGAAGAGACCGGAACGAAACAUGCGGACGCUCGCCCUCGCCCUCGCCCUCGUUCCCACGCGUGACAAUUUGAACACGAAAACGUUGCAGUUGGGAAAGCAGUCGCCUCCACUCACCGGACGUAAAGAGCACGAUGGAUUUGAGGCAGGAGUACUCGGCCGUGUCCACCUGCAGGGCCUUCAGCUUCUCCACCUGCUCCUGGAAGACGCGGAUGUGGUCCAUGAAGGCCACAACGCGCUCCGCCGACAUGGGCGAGGCGUGCAGGCCCGCCGCCGCCAGCAGGGGCGCCACGUGCAGCGGCAUGGAGCACUGUGCGGCGUUGAGGACGAAGAGCUCGCUCCACGACAUGCGCAGCAGCGCCACCUAGGAGGACGACGACGGACAUCAUUAGUUUGUUAAAGCAGGGGUGUCCAAACUUUUUCCAGCGAGGGCCACAUGGUGAAAAGUGAAAGGAUGCGAGGACCACGCUGAUAUUUUGGAAAGCAACACGGAGACAGAUGCUCCGAAGCGAGAUGAAAAUGCUGCUAAAAAUGGCCUCUUUCCCACAAGAAUACAAGUUUAUUCUUGGAAAAUUGCCACUUUUGUUCUUCAUUUGAUCAUGAUUUUUGUUCUUAAUAUUUGGACUUUAUUCCCGAAAGCUGUUUUUUUCCAUUUCUGCUGAUUUUUUUAUUUAUUUUCCAACUCUUGGAUUUCAGCUUCUUCUCGGAAUUAGACCUUUAUUUCCAUAAUAUUUUUUAUCUUUUCCAGAAAAAUGAUGUAUUCUUUCUUUCCUUCAACAUUGUUACUAAAAUGAUAUUUUUCCUCAUGUUACAAGUUUCGUCUCUAAAAUUGCAAUCUUCUUUGUCAUUAGAAAGCCAUUUUGUGUCGUGAUGUUUUGACUUUAUGCUGUUUUCCAUUUCUGCUUUGGAUUUUGUUGGUAUAAUUUUCAGAAUAUUUCAACUUUCUUCUUGUAUAUUUUCUUCUGCUAAUAUUUUCACUUUAUUCUGAUGUU
Long non-coding RNA from Dunckerocampus dactyliophorus (ringed pipefish), 1274 nucleotides. RefSeq lists it as uncharacterized. The record is from RefSeq and is a predicted model, not a curated record. The transcript is spliced from 4 exons. Lineage: Eukaryota; Metazoa; Chordata; Actinopteri; Syngnathiformes; Syngnathidae.